GAUGAACGCUGGCGGCGUGCCUAAUACAUGCAAGUCGAGCGAACGGACGAGAAGCUUGCUUCUCUGAUGUUAGCGGCGGACGGGUGAGUAACACGUGGAUAACCUACCUAUAAGACUGGGAUAACUUCGGGAAACCGGAGCUAAUACCGGAUAAUAUUUUGAACCGCAUGGUUCAAAAGUGAAAGACGGUCUUGCUGUCACUUAUAGAUGGAUCCGCGCUGCAUUAGCUAGUUGGUAAGGUAACGGCUUACCGAGGCAACGAUGCAUAGCCGACCUGAGAGGGGGAAGGGCCCCGUGGGAGAGGAGGAGCGGGCACGCCGCGAAGGGGAGGCAGGAGAGGGGAAUCUGCGGGAAGGGGGGAAAGCAUGAGGGGGAAACGGCGGGGGGGUGAAGAAGCUCUGCGGCGUGGAAAACGAUGUUAUACGGGAAGACAAAUUGUUUAAUAAAAGGGGAAAAACUGGAGGGAUCUGAUACAAAAAGCCCGGCUAAAUAUGGG
RNAcentral lists this ribosomal RNA (496 nucleotides) under uncultured bacterium. RNAcentral's name for it is "partial 16S ribosomal RNA". It matches the Rfam family "Bacterial small subunit ribosomal RNA", at positions 28 to 507 of the family's 1533-position model. The record is from RNAcentral.